Molecule: non-coding RNA, 73 nt
Organism: Pangasianodon gigas (Mekong giant catfish)
Lineage: Eukaryota; Metazoa; Chordata; Actinopteri; Siluriformes; Pangasiidae
Source: the annotation of a GenBank genome assembly
CCCCUGGUGGUCUAGCGGCUAAGGAUCCCACGCUCUCACCGCCACAGCCCGGGCUCAAUACCCGGGCAGGGAA